AUUGAACGCUGGCGGCAUGCCUUACACAUGCAAGUCGAACGGUAACAGGGAGCUUGCUCCGCUGACGAGUGGCGAACGGGUGAGUAAUGUAUCGGAACGUACCAUUCAGUGGGGGAUAACGUAGCGAAAGUUACGCUAAUACCGCAUAUUCUGUGAGCAGGAAAGCAGGGGAUCGCAAGACCUUGCGCUGAUUGAGCGGCCGAUAUCAGAUUAGCUAGUUGGUGAGGUAAAGGCUCACCAAGGCGACGAUCUGUAGCGGGUCUGAGAGGACGACCAGCCACACUGGGACUGAGACACGGCCCAGACUCCUACGGGAGGCAGCAGUGGGGAAUUUUGGACAAUGGGCGAAAGCCUGAUCCAGCCAUGCCGCGUGCAGGAAGAAGGCCUUCGGGUUGUAAACUGCUUUAGUCUAGGAAAAAGGGGUGCGAGGUUAAUACCCUCGUGCUUUGAUGGUACUGGAAGAAUAAGCACCGGCUAACUACGUG
RNAcentral lists this ribosomal RNA (485 nucleotides) under uncultured bacterium. Its description in RNAcentral is "bacterial SSU rRNA". It matches the Rfam family "Bacterial small subunit ribosomal RNA", at positions 30 to 507 of the family's 1533-position model. The record is from RNAcentral.